GGCUGGGGUAUAGGUAUAGGCCUGGGGUAUAGGACUAAGGUUUAGGUAUAGGGCUGGUGUAUAGGUUUAGGGCUGGGAUUUAGGGCUGGGGUAUAGGUAUAGGUAUAGGGCUGGGGUAUAGGGCUGUGGCUGGGGUAAAGGGCUAGGGUAAAGGUGUGGGGCUGGGGUAUAGGGAUGGGGGAUGGGUAUAGGGCUGGGGUAUAGGUAUAGGGCUGGGGUACAGGGCUGGGGUAUAGGGCUGAGGUUUAGGUAUAGGGCUGGGGUAUAGUGCUGGGAUAUAUGCCUGAGGUAUAGGGCUGGGGUAUAGGUACAGGGCAGUGGUAUUCGUAUAAAGCUGGAGUAUAGGUAUAGGGCUGGGUAUAGGGCUGGGC
Long non-coding RNA from Oncorhynchus tshawytscha (Chinook salmon), 371 nucleotides. The record is from Ensembl. NCBI's taxonomy places the organism in Eukaryota, Metazoa, Chordata, Actinopteri, Salmoniformes, Salmonidae.